RNAcentral lists this ribosomal RNA (253 nucleotides) under uncultured bacterium. RNAcentral describes it as "partial 16S ribosomal RNA". It matches the Rfam family "Bacterial small subunit ribosomal RNA", at positions 524 to 776 of the family's 1533-position model. The record is from RNAcentral.
UACGUAGGUGGCAAGCGUUGUCCGGAAUUACUGGGCGUAAAGGGUGCGUAGGCGGUUUAUUAAGUCAGAUGUGAAAUUCCCAGGCUUAACCUGGGGACUGCAUUUGAAACUGGUAGGCUAGAGUGCAGGAGAGGAAAGCGGAAUUCCUAGUGUAGCGGUGAAAUGCGUAGAUAUUAGGAAGAACACCAGUGGCGAAGGCGGCUUUCUGGACUGUAACUGACGCUGAGGCACGAAAGCGUGGGGAGCAAACAGG